Molecule: small nuclear RNA, 293 nt
Filed under: Meriones unguiculatus (Mongolian gerbil)
Lineage: Eukaryota; Metazoa; Chordata; Mammalia; Rodentia; Muridae
Description: 7SK RNA (ENSMUGG00000012543.1)
Rfam family: 7SK RNA
About the family: 7SK was discovered as an abundant small nuclear RNA in the mid-70s but a possible function has only recently been suggested.
Source: RNAcentral
GGAACCCAGAGGUGAUCUGGAGGAGACACCUAUUAUCUGUUAUUCCACUGGUCGUCUGGUUUCACUCAGAGGAUCUGCUUGGCUAGGUGCGCGUUCCUUCUUUUCUCCCUGCUCUCCACGUUCAUCCUUCCAGAAGCUGAACUCUCCAUUAAAGAGGAGGGUCUUCCCUGAUAGAGAAAGAUCAUUCCUUGUUCCAGGGCUCGACAAUAGCUGCACUUCUUUAUCAAAACCUCAGAACAGGACUCUGGCUAAAAUGCUCAAUUCCUAUCCAGAAAGGCAAAGAGGCUGGACAU